This 253-nucleotide ribosomal RNA is filed under the name uncultured bacterium. Its description in RNAcentral is "partial 16S ribosomal RNA". It matches the Rfam family "Bacterial small subunit ribosomal RNA", at positions 524 to 776 of the family's 1533-position model. The record is from RNAcentral.
UACGAAGGGGGCUAGCGUUGCUCGGAAUUACUGGGCGUAAAGGGCGCGUAGGCGGCACUGUUAGUCAGGCGUGAAAGUCCUGGGCUCAACCUGGGAACUGCGCUUGAUACGGCAGAGCUAGAGGAUGGAAGAGGGUCGCGGAAUUCCCAGUGUAGAGGUGAAAUUCGUAGAUAUUGGGAAGAACACCGGUGGCGAAGGCGGCGACCUGGUCCAUUACUGACGCUGAGGCGCGACAUCGUGGGGAGCAAACAGG